RNAcentral lists this ribosomal RNA (1233 nucleotides) under Alburnus tarichi (tarek). RNAcentral describes it as "partial large subunit ribosomal RNA". It matches the Rfam family "Bacterial large subunit ribosomal RNA", at positions 698 to 2572 of the family's 2925-position model. The record is from RNAcentral. Lineage: Eukaryota; Metazoa; Chordata; Actinopteri; Cypriniformes; Leuciscidae.
AGACCUUUAGUUUGAACCCCGAAACCAGGUGAGCUACCCCGAGACAGCCUAUAUUGAUUUAGGGCUAACCCGUCUCUGUGGCAAAAGAGUGGGAAGAGCUCCGGGUAGAAGUGACAGACCUACCGAACCUGGUGAUAGCUGGUUGCCUGAGAAGUGGAUAGAAGUUCAGCCUCGCACACCCCAAGCCAGAGAAUACACCGCUAAGGCACUCAGGGAAAUGUGGGAGAGUUAGUUAAAGGGGGUACAGCCCCUUUAACAAAGGAUACAACCUUUGCAGGAGGAUAAAGAUCAUAAUAUAUAAAACAUGCUGCUCUAGUGGGCCUAAAGGCAGCCACCUAAACAGAAAGCGUUAAAGCUCAGGCAGAAAGAAGUUUAUUAUACCGAUAAAAAAUCUUACUCCCCUAAUUAUAUCAGGCCAACCCAUGCCAACAUGGAAGAGAUUAUGCUAAAAUGAGUAACAAGAAGACCUGCUCUUCUCCCAGCACAAGUGUAAGCCAGAUCGGACUAACCACUGGAACUUAACGAACCCAACCCAAGAGGGUAGUGUGAAUAGUACAGACCCCAAGAAGAACUCACAACUAAACAAUCGUUAACCCCACACUGGAGUGCUAUUAUAAAGGAAAGACUAAAAGAGGGGGAAGGAACUCGGCAAACACAAGCCUCGCCUGUUUACCAAAAACAUCGCCUCCUGCAACUAUAUUGAGUAUAGGAGGUCCAGCCUGCCCAGUGACUACGGGUUCAACGGCCGCGGUAUUUUGACCGUGCAAAGGUAGCGCAAUCACUUGUCUCUUAAAUAGAGACCUGUAUGAAUGGCUAGACGAGGGCUUAACUGUCUCCCCCCUCCAGUCAGUGAAAUUGAUCUAUCCGUGCAGAAGCGGGUAUAAUUAUACAAGACGAGAAGACCCUUUGGAGCUUAAGGUACAAAAUCCAACCACGUUAAACGACCCCCUAAAGGGCAAGAACUUAGUGGCCAAUGAAGUUUUACCUUCGGUUGGGGCGACCACGGAGGAGAAAAAAGCCUCCGAGUGGACUGGGUUGAAACCCAAAGCUAAGAGAUACAUCUCUAAGCCGCAGAACAUCUGACCAAAAGUGAUCCGGCUAAAAAGCCGAUCAACGAACCAAGUUACCCUAGGGAUAACAGCGCAAUCCUCUCCCAGAGUCCAUAUCGACGAGGGGGUUUACGACCUCGAUGUUGGAUCAGGACAUCCUAAUGGUGCAGCCGCUAUUAAGGGU